Oreochromis aureus is the source of this 1074-nucleotide long non-coding RNA. The record is from Ensembl. Lineage: Eukaryota; Metazoa; Chordata; Actinopteri; Cichliformes; Cichlidae.
GGUGUAUAUAAGUUUAUAUAAUUUAUCAAAUUGCAAUUGUAAGCCAAACUAUCAGUAUUUAUUUCAAAGUGUAAUCCAAAAUUAAAAUGACAAAUGUAGGGCUCUGUAAGUAGUUUCUACUGUGAGUUCUACUGUACUGUAAUUCUACUACUGUAUAUUCAACUUUUUACUUGUAAUUUCCAGCAAAAUGAGUGGAUAUGAAAGUUUAAUGACAGGAAAGAAGGAGCAGUGAGAGCGGAGAUCUCUCCGAAUUCUGAAAACAGAUCGAUGAAGUUGUGGUAACUUCAAUUCCAAAAACUUGGUUUCUUCUCAAACUUGGUUUAUCUCAAACUUGGUUUAUCUCAAACUUGGUUUAUCUCAAACUUGGUUUAUCUCAAACUUGGUUUCAGGCAAACUUGUUUUGCUUUUCAACUCAGGUUCAAGCUUGUCAACUUAGAUAGAGCUCAUGGCGGAGAAAUGAUAGAAGAUAGAAUGGCUUGUCAAAAAGAUGGAGCAGGGAGAGGGAGAGUGAUAGGACAGACUGAAUUGCUUGUUAAUGAUAGAGGGAGAGGGUUUUCUGCAGCAGGUCACCUGUAAGACAGAAAGAAAGUGGAAUUAGACACACUUCCAAUAAACCUGGCUUUACUGUAUUUUUCAGACUAUAAGGCACAUUUAAAAGCCUUUAAUUUUCUCAAAAAUAGACAGUGCACCUUAUGUAUGGUUGUGUUUACUGAUUUCAAACCAAUUCUAUGUGGUACACGGCACUCACGGCAUCUGUCAAAUGUUUUAGUAUGACUUUGGUAAGCUACAAAGCAGCACCACUUGAUGUAUUGUCGGAGCAUGGCUACCAUAGUCAGCACCCUCGUAGAGUAAUUCGUACUGUGCUUCAACAUAAUAUGGUGUGUGUGUGUAUAAGGGCCUGGCACCUGUUGAGAGCCAUGCUUAUGAAGCAGAUUUCAAACUGAUCAAUCCACAUUCAUCAAUACACAAAUCCUGAAAAGUGAGUGAAUUGUUCUGUAUUUUAUGUCUUACAACUGAACAAUUUUGAGAGUUAUUGUAAAUGAGUUGAAUAAAGUUUGACUUAUCUGUUUUGUU